GACGAACGCUGGCGGCGUGCUUAACACAUGCAAGUCGAACGGAAAGGCCCUGCUUUUGUGGGGUGCUCGAGUGGCGAACGGGUGAGUAACACGUGAGUAACCUGCCCUUGACUUUGGGAUAACUUCAGGAAACUGGGGCUAAUACCGGAUAGGAGCUCCUGCUGCAUGGUGGGGGUUGGAAAGUUUCGGCGGUUGGGGAUGGACUCGCGGCUUAUCAGCUUGUUGGUGGGGUAGUGGCUUACCAAGGCUUUGACGGGUAGCCGGCCUGUGAGGGUGAACGGCAACAUUGGGACUGAGAUACGGCCCAGACUCCUACGGGAGGCAGAAGUGGGGAAUAUUGCACAAUGGGCGGGAGCCUGAUGCAGCAACGCCGCGGGCGGGAUGACGGCCUUCGGGUUGUAAACCGCUUUCGCCUGUGACGAAGCGUGAGUGACGGUAAUGGGUAAAGAAGCACCGGCUAGCUACGUG
This 468-nucleotide ribosomal RNA is filed under the name uncultured bacterium. RNAcentral describes it as "partial 16S ribosomal RNA". It matches the Rfam family "Bacterial small subunit ribosomal RNA", at positions 28 to 507 of the family's 1533-position model. The record is from RNAcentral.